Molecule: transfer RNA, 71 nt
Filed under: Marmota monax (woodchuck)
Lineage: Eukaryota; Metazoa; Chordata; Mammalia; Rodentia; Sciuridae
Description: tRNA.Thr
Rfam family: tRNA
About the family: Transfer RNA (tRNA) molecules are approximately 80 nucleotides in length. Their secondary structure includes four short double-helical elements and three loops (D, anti-codon, and T loops).
Source: RNAcentral
GGGGUUGUGGCUCAGUGGCAGAGCGCUUGCCUAGUAUGCAUGAGGCACUGGGUUCUAUCCUCAGUACCACA